GAUGAACGCUGGCGGCGUGCCUAAUACAUGCAAGUCGAGCGAACAGAUGAGGAGCUUGCUCCUCUGACGUUAGCGGCGGACGGGUGAGUAACACGUGGAUAACCUACCUAUAAGACUGGGAUAACUUCGGGAAACCGGAGCUAAUACCGGAUAAUAUAUUGAACCGCAUGGUUCAAUAGUGAAAGACGGUUUUGCUGUCACUUAUAGAUGGAUCCGCGCGGCAUUAGCUAGUUGGUAAGGUAACGGCUUACCAAGGCAACGAUGCGUAGCCGACCUGAGAGGGUGAUCGGCCACACUGGAGCUGAGACACGGUCCAGACUCCUACGGGAGGCAGCAGUAGGGAAUCUUCCGCAAUGGGCGAAAGCCUGACGGAGCAACGCCGCGUGAGUGAUGAAGGUCUUCGGAUCGUAAAACUCUGUUAUUAGGGAAGAACAAAUGUGUAAGUAACUGUGCACGUCUUGACGGUACCUAAUCAGAAAGCCACGGCUAACUACGUG
This 497-nucleotide ribosomal RNA is filed under the name uncultured bacterium. Its description in RNAcentral is "partial 16S ribosomal RNA". It matches the Rfam family "Bacterial small subunit ribosomal RNA", at positions 28 to 507 of the family's 1533-position model. The record is from RNAcentral.